GUAACUGACGCUGAGGAGCGAAAGGGUGGGGAGCAAACAGGCUUAGAUACCCUGGUAGUCCACCCCGUAAACGUUGGGAACUAGUUGUGGGGACCAUUCCACGGUUUCCGUGACGCAGCUAACGCAUUAAGUUCCCCGCCUGGGGAGUACGGCCGCAAGGCUAAAACUCAAAGGAAUUGACGGGGACCCGCACAAGCGGCGGAGCAUGCGGAUUAAUUCGAUGCAACGCGAAGAACCUUACCAAGGCUUGACAUACACCAGAACGGGCCAGAAAUGGUCAACUCUUUGGACACUGGUGAACAGGUGGUGCAUGGUUGUCGUCAGCUCGUGUCGUGAGAUGUUGGGUUAAGUCCCGCAACGAGCGCAACCCUCGUUCUAUGUUGCCAGCACGUAAUGGUGGGAACUCAUGGGAUACUGCCGGGGUCAACUCGGAGGAAGGUGGGGAUGACGUCAAAUCAUCAUGCCCCUUAUGUCUUGGGCUUCACGCAUGCUACAAUGGCCGGUACAAAGGGCUGCAAUACCGUGAGGUGGAGCGAAUCCCAAAAAGCCGGUCCCAGUUCGGAUUGAGGUCUGCAACUCGACCUCAUGAAGUCGGAGUCGCUAGUAAUCGCAGAUCAGCAACGCUGCGGUGAAUACGUUCCCGGGUCUUGUACACACCGCCCGUCAAGUCAUGAAAGUCGGUA
This 683-nucleotide ribosomal RNA is filed under the name Microbacterium sp. Its description in RNAcentral is "bacterial SSU rRNA". It matches the Rfam family "Bacterial small subunit ribosomal RNA", at positions 736 to 1416 of the family's 1533-position model. Lineage: Bacteria; Bacillati; Actinomycetota; Actinomycetes; Micrococcales; Microbacteriaceae. The record is from RNAcentral.